Molecule: ribosomal RNA, 491 nt
Filed under: uncultured bacterium
Lineage: Bacteria
Description: partial 16S ribosomal RNA
Rfam family: Bacterial small subunit ribosomal RNA
Source: RNAcentral
GUGAACGCUGGCGGUAGGCCUAACACAUGCAAGUCGAACGGCAGCACAGUAAGAGCUUGCUCUUACGGGUGGCGAGUGGCGGACGGGUGAGGAAUACAUCGGAAUCUACUUUUUCGUGGGGGAUAACGUAGGGAAACUUACGCUAAUACCGUAUACGACCUACGGGUGAAAGCAGGGGAUCUUCGGACCUUGCGCGAUUGAAUGAGCCGAUGUCGGAUUAGCUAGUUGGCGGGGUAAAGGCCCACCAAGGCGACGAUCCGUAGCUGGUCUGAGAGGAUGAUCAGCCACACUGGAACUGAGACACGGUCCAGACUCCUACGGGAGGCAGCAGUGGGGAAUAUUGGACAAAGGGCGCAAGCCUGAUCCAGCCAUACCGCGUGGGUGAAGAAGGCCUUCGGGUUGUAAAGCCCUUUUGUUGGGAAAGAAAAGCAGCAGGUUAAUACCCCGCUGUUCUGACGGUACCCAAAGAAUAAGCACCGGCUAACUUCGUG